RNAcentral lists this ribosomal RNA (247 nucleotides) under uncultured Bdellovibrio sp. Its description in RNAcentral is "partial 16S ribosomal RNA". It matches the Rfam family "Bacterial small subunit ribosomal RNA", at positions 210 to 456 of the family's 1533-position model. The record is from RNAcentral. Lineage: Bacteria; Pseudomonadati; Bdellovibrionota; Bdellovibrionia; Bdellovibrionales; Pseudobdellovibrionaceae.
GUUUUUCGCCUUAAGAUGAGCCCGCGUGGGAUUAGCUAGUUGGUGAGGUAACGGCUCACCAAGGCAACGAUCUCUAGCUGGUCUGAGAGGAUGAUCAGCCACACUGGAACUGAGACACGGUCCAGACUCCUACGGGAGGCAGCAGUAGGGAAUAUUGCACAAUGGAGGAAACUCUGAUGCAGCGACGCCGCGUGAGUGAUGAAGGCCUUCGGGUCGUAAAGCUCUGUCGUACGGGAAUAAUAAAGUG